GAUGAUUAAGAAGACGAUGGGGUAGGUGAGGAAAUGGAUACCAUUGCACCAGUUAAUGUUGUAAUUAGUAUAUGUAAUCGGGCGCUUGUAGAAGUAAAAACAAAACCAGAUAUUGGUAAUUGUGUGUUAAUUACUUCCCUAAUUGUCAUACUCAUCAUGGCUUUGAUUCUCCCCAAUCAACUGUGUUCUUUAUUCAAACCAGGUUGCAUUUUACCAACUAGUAUAGCCUCACCUGAGGGUUCAAUAGUGCAUACCCGCCGAUGCUCAUGUUUACAGCGGGAAUGAGAAUGACGAAGCGGGAUAAGUUGCCGGAGAUAGGAGAAGAAGGAGAAGAAGAAGAAUAAGAAGAAGGCGACAAUAGUAACUUAGUAAGCUAACAAAGUGCUUGAGAAGUUGCCUACUGAUGAUACAAUUCCACUGAAGAAGCAACAUUCUGAUGCUCCUAUCAAAGGGACUGAGAGAAGCUAUAUAGUGCAACGACUCGUUGAGAAGUUGACUCUCGAGAAACGAUAUGUCGGUCAACAUGAGUAGAAAGUCACACCUUCCAUGGCUGUGCAAGACGCAACUGUUAUGUUUCAACAUAUCUCAACUCAUCAAGGUCGUCCUACUCGAGCGAGCCGACCGAGGUAAAAGGUCAACAGAAGACCGGAAAAUAAGAACAAAAGCUUCCAACUUGUUAUGUCCAUGGCCAGCUCCAGCGCUUUUCUGCCAUGUCAAAUCCUUAUGAAAGUAGCGUUAGAACACAUUUUACUAACAUCUCGCAGUAACAGAUCGAAAGAUGAUGAACAAAUGACAAAUUGAACACUUACGAUUGGCACUCUUGCGAAAUAUCUACCAAACUGAAGCCCCCACAGAUAACAGAAGUAGAGAUGCAGCUAUAAUGGAAAUCACGAGCAUAAACUGGCCAAACUGAGAAUGCCGGUUUGCAUCGCAAGCAUACCUCAUCCUCAUCUUGUGUUUCGAUUUCGAGACAGGAAUCCAACAUAAAGUAAUGAAUUUCCCAACAUCAAAACAGCAGACUCACAUAUCACUGUCACUAAUUUCAUACAUGUCUCUUGUCCAAUCUUCUUAGUAUGAUUUUACACCUACCACACAACUAGUAAAAUACCCUGCAACAAGUAGAAACCCAGCGAUGAACACAACUUCAUCAAUAGAGUUGAUAAGUUCAUUAUGAACAUUUUUGUUUCUCGUUACCAGUAUACAUGUUUCUAAAUACAUCAAAUCCUUCAACUCUAUUAAUUUGAUCAUCCUAUACUAUGCAAGCAUGGGUUCGAUUUUGGGCAUUAUGGUUUAUAAACUCUGCAAAUUUGAAUGAAUUACACACUCUUGGAUGGCAUAGCUGAACUGGGAGACCCUACAGCAAAUACAAGAAGCAAGCAUCACAAAUUCACAAUGCAGUAACAUAAAAUCCCUAAGAAUUCAUCAAUCAGUCUCCAUCAGAGAGAGUCAAUACCAUACCUGCAAGAGUGCAAGAAAAAGGAAGCUCAAUCCGUUGCGAUUUGUCAGUGUGAAGUAUAUACUGAUCCUGCAAAAACCAAACCUUAAGUCAAAAUCCCUCAAAAAGGCAAAAUCAUUCCCAGAACUACCUCUGGGACAACGAAAUCGAGGACUAUGCCGCACUGGUGAUCGUGAACGGUGACUUUAUUGGUGGGAACUUUCGUCUGGGCGGAGGAUCGGCCGUUUACUCCAUCUGACGCUCAUUUCGUCCGGCGGGUAGUGAUGCAUGCCCUGGUAACUCCUCUUACACGAGACGAAGUGGAUCGAUAUUCUUCGAACCAACUUGUUAACAGAGCAAAAACAACACCACGGAGGAUCAGAUGAAGCAGGAGUCGAUUCCUCGGCGUCGGAGAAGUCAAAUCGAGGGAAAAAAACACAGAAUGUGCAGAUGAAACUUCGACGCGUGCAACCCAACCUUGCGCGUGGAUGCGCGUAGGAAUAUGUACAACACGCGCGCGUGGAUGUAAUGCGCGUGGGAGGGAAAGCCCAUUCGCAAAAUCGCGCGUUGCGUCCACUUGCGCGUGUUGAGCACGCGUAAAACGAGUCGGGUUGGC
Molecule: long non-coding RNA, 2051 nt
Filed under: Linum usitatissimum (flax)
Lineage: Eukaryota; Viridiplantae; Streptophyta; Magnoliopsida; Malpighiales; Linaceae
Description: long non-coding RNA (LUSI_LNC002586)
Source: RNAcentral